GAUGAACGCUGGCGGCGUGCUUAACACAUGCAAGUCGAACGGAAAGGCUCCUCCCUGCUGGGGUACUCGAGUGGCGAACGGGUGAGUAACACGUGGGUGAUCUGCCCUGUACUUCGGGAUAAGCUUGGGAAACUGGGUCUAAUACCGGAUAUGACAAUCUCUUGGAUGGGGUUGUGGAAAGCUUUUGCGGUAUGGGAUGGGCUCGCGGCCUAUCAGCUUGUUGGUGGGGUAAUGGCCUACCAAGGCGUCGACGGGUAGCCGGCCUGAGAGGGUGUACGGCCACAUUGGGACUGAGAUACGGCCCAGACUCCUACGGGAGGCAGCAGUGGGGAAUAUUGCACAAUGGGCGCAAGCCUGAUGCAGCGACGCCGCGUGGGGGAUGACGGCCUUCGGGUUGUAAACUCCUUUCGCAACCGACGAAGCGUUUGUGACGGUAGGUGGAGAAGAAGCACCGGCUAACUACGUG
RNAcentral lists this ribosomal RNA (466 nucleotides) under uncultured bacterium. RNAcentral describes it as "partial 16S ribosomal RNA". It matches the Rfam family "Bacterial small subunit ribosomal RNA", at positions 28 to 507 of the family's 1533-position model. The record is from RNAcentral.